UAAUACCCGAGCCACAAGUGGUGACCAUUUUUAUUGGGUUUAAAGCAUCCGUAGCCUGCCUAAUAAGUUUCUGGUUAAAUCUCUUGUUAACCAAAAGACUGCCAGAAAUACUACUAGGCUAGAGAUUAGAAGAAGCUGGAGGUACUCUUGGGGUAGGGGUGAAAGGCGAACAAUUGCAAAGUUUCAUUUCACAUUCCACUGAUCCCAAGGGGACCACCGAUGGCGAAGGCAUCUAGCUAGAAUAACUCUGACGGUGAGGGAUGAAAGCUAGGGGAGCGAUCGGGAUUAGAUACCCCGGUAGUCCUAGCUGUAAACGAUGCCCGCUUGGUGUUGGCUGGUUUGUAGUAACCAGCCAGUAUCGAAGAGAAAUCAUUAAGCGGGCCACCUGGGGAGUACGGUCGCAAGGCUG
Molecule: ribosomal RNA, 409 nt
Filed under: uncultured archaeon
Lineage: Archaea
Description: bacterial SSU rRNA
Rfam family: Archaeal small subunit ribosomal RNA
Source: RNAcentral